UGAGCAGCUAGAUCGCGAGAUCAUGCUAAUCUCAAAAAGCCGUCUCAGUUCGGAUUGUUCUCUGCAACUCGAGAGCAUGAAGGCGGAAUCGCUAGUAAUCGCGGAUCAGCAUGCCGCGGUGAAUACGUUCCCAGGCCUUGUACACACCGCCCGUCACACCAUGGGAGUUGGAUUCACCCGAAGGCGCUGCGCUAACCCGCAAGGGAGGCAGGCGACCACGGUGGGUUCAGCGACUGGGGUGAAGUCGUAACAAGGUAGCCGUAGGGGAACCUGCGGCUGGAUCACCUCCUUUCUAAG
RNAcentral lists this ribosomal RNA (297 nucleotides) under Hapalosiphonaceae cyanobacterium JJU2. RNAcentral's name for it is "partial 16S ribosomal RNA". It matches the Rfam family "Bacterial small subunit ribosomal RNA", at positions 1243 to 1533 of the family's 1533-position model. Lineage: Bacteria; Bacillati; Cyanobacteriota; Cyanophyceae; Nostocales; Hapalosiphonaceae. The record is from RNAcentral.